UACAGAGGUGCCGAGCGUUAGGCGGAAUCACUGGGCUUAAAGCGCGCGUAGGCGGGUCGUUAAGUGUCCGCGUGAAAUCCCACGGCUCAACCGUGGAACGGCCGGGCAGACUGGCGACCUCGAGGCGUUCAGGGGCGAGCGGAACAAGUGGUGGAGCGGUGAAAUGCGUAGAUAUCACUUGGAACGCCGACGGUGAAAACAGCUCGCUGGGAACGAUCUGACGCUGAGGCGCGAAAGCCAGGGGAGCGAACGGG
Molecule: ribosomal RNA, 254 nt
Filed under: uncultured bacterium
Lineage: Bacteria
Description: partial 16S ribosomal RNA
Rfam family: Bacterial small subunit ribosomal RNA
Source: RNAcentral